UGCCCCGUAGUUUAGUGGUAGAACGCUGGGUUUUGGUCCCAGAAGCUGAGGUUCGAAUCCUUGCGGGGCAACCA
This 74-nucleotide transfer RNA is filed under the name Candidatus Spechtiibacteriota bacterium. RNAcentral's name for it is "tRNA-Gln". It matches the Rfam family "tRNA". From Rfam's summary of the family: Transfer RNA (tRNA) molecules are approximately 80 nucleotides in length. Their secondary structure includes four short double-helical elements and three loops (D, anti-codon, and T loops). Lineage: Bacteria; Candidatus Spechtiibacteriota. The record is from RNAcentral.